Molecule: ribosomal RNA, 307 nt
Filed under: uncultured bacterium
Lineage: Bacteria
Description: partial 16S ribosomal RNA
Rfam family: Bacterial small subunit ribosomal RNA
Source: RNAcentral
AGACAGCAGCCGCCGCGGGAAUACGUAGGGUACGAGCGUUAAUCGGAAUUACUGGGCGUAAAGCGUGCGCAGGCGGUUAUAUAAGACAGAUGUGAAAUCCCCGGGCUCAACCUGGGACCUGCAUUUGUGACUGUAUAGCUAGAGUACGGUAGAGGGGGAUGGAAUUCCGCGUGUAGCAGUGAAAUGCGUAGAUAUGCGGAGGAACACCGAUGGCGAAGGCAAUCCCCUGGACCUGUACUGACGCUCGUGCACGAAAGCGUGGGGAGCAAACAGGAUUAGAUACCCGCGUAGUCCCUGUCUCUUAUAC